GACGAAUGCUGGCGGCGUGCUUAACACAUGCAAGUCGAACGAGGUCCGAACAGUGGCAACACUGGGAAAGACCGAGUGGCGAACGGGUGCGUAACACGUGAGGAACCUGCCCCGGUCUCUGGAAUAACAGUGGGAAACCACUGCUAAUACCGGAUAUCUCCUCAGAACCGCAUGGCUCUGAGAAGAAAGGGUUACCGGAUCGGGAGGGUCUCGCGGCCUAUCAGCUUGUUGGUGGGGUAAUGGCCUACCAAGGCUCCGACGGGUAGCUGGUCUGAGAGGACGAUCAGCCACACUGGGACUGAGACACGGCCCAGACUCCUACGGGAGGCAGCAGUGGGGAAUCUUGCGCAAUGGGCGAAAGCCUGACGCAGCAACGCCGCGUGCGGGAUGAAGGCCCUCGGG
RNAcentral lists this ribosomal RNA (402 nucleotides) under uncultured bacterium. Its description in RNAcentral is "bacterial SSU rRNA". It matches the Rfam family "Bacterial small subunit ribosomal RNA", at positions 28 to 422 of the family's 1533-position model. The record is from RNAcentral.